GGCAUGCUUAACACAUGCAAGUCGAGGGGCUGCGCGGAGUACCAAUACUCUGGCGGCGACCGGCGCAAGGGUGCGUAACGCGUGAGCAACAUGCCCGUAUCAGGGGGAUAAGCGAUGGAAACGUCGUCUAAUACCGCAUAACAUCAUUACGGACAUCCGUGGUGAUUGAAAGUUUCGACGGAUACGGAUUGGCUCGCGAGGCAUUAGCUGGUUGGCGGGGUAACGGCCCACCAAGGCUGCGAUGCCUAGGGGUUCUGAGAGGAAGGUCCCCCACACUGGAACUGAGACACGGUCCAGACUCCUACGGGAGGCAGCAGUGAGGAAUAUUGGACAAUGGAUGGAAAUCUGAUCCAGCCAUGCCGCGUGAAGGAUAAGGUCCUAUGGAUUGUAAACUUCUUUUGUACGGGAGCAAUAAGGCGUAUGCAUACGCUGAUGAGAGUACCGUACGAAUAAGCAUCGGCUAACUCCGUGCCAGCAGCCGCGGUAAUACGGAGGAUGCGAGCGUUAUCCGGAUUUAUUGGGUUUAAAGGGUGCGUAGGCGGAACGCCAAGUCAGCGGUGAAACGCAGGGGCUCAACCCCUGACCUGCCGUUGAAACUGGCGAUCUGGAAUGCGGAUGCUGUGGGAGGAAUGUGUGGGGUAGCGGUGAAACGCAUAGAUAUCACACAGAACACCGAUUGCGAAGGCAUCUCACACAUCCGUUAUCGACGAUGAGGCACGAAAGUGUGGGGAUCAAACAGGAUUAGAUACCCUGGUAGUCCACACUGUAAAUCGAUGAUAACUCGCUGUCGGCGAUAUACGGUCGGUGGCCAAGCGAAAGCGAUAAGUUAUCCACCUGGGGAGUACGACCGCAAGGUUGAUACUCAAAGGAAUUGACGGGGGCCCGCACAAGCGGAGGAACAUGUGGUUUAAUUAGAUGAUACGCGAGGAACUUUACCCGGGCUCGCACGGCUGGUGAAGAGAUACAGAGAUGUUGACGUCGUACGGGACCCCAGUCGAGGUGCUGCACGGUCGUUGUCAGCUCGUGCCGUGAGGAUGUCGGCUUAAGUGCCAUAACGCGCGCAACCCUGGUUGUCAGUUACCAUCAAGUGAACUUGGGGACUCUGGCGAGACUGCCACCGUAAGGUGAGAGGAAGGGGGGGAUGACGUCAAAUCAGCACGGCCCUCACGUCCGGGGCGACACACGUGUUACAAUGGUGGGUACAGAGGGCAGCUACCUGGCGACAGCGGGCAAAUCUCGAAAACCCAUCUCACUUCGGAUUGGAGUCUGCAACUCGACUCCAUGAAGUGGGAUUCGCUAGUAAUCGCACAUCAGCCACGGCGCGGUGAAUCCGUUCC
This 1337-nucleotide ribosomal RNA is filed under the name uncultured bacterium. RNAcentral's name for it is "bacterial SSU rRNA". It matches the Rfam family "Bacterial small subunit ribosomal RNA", at positions 41 to 1374 of the family's 1533-position model. The record is from RNAcentral.